Molecule: ribosomal RNA, 628 nt
Filed under: uncultured marine eukaryote
Lineage: Eukaryota
Description: SSU rRNA
Rfam family: Eukaryotic small subunit ribosomal RNA
Source: RNAcentral
GGUUAAAAAGCUCGUAGUUGGAUCUCGGCGGACUGAGGGCGGUUUGCUUGCUAGUAUUACUGCCCUAUAGUCCGUAGUUUUGCCAGAGGUUUCGGGGUGCUCUUAAUCGAGUGUCCCGGGAUGCUGGCAGGUUUACUUUGAAAAAAUUAGAGUGCUCAAAGCAGGCUAUUACGCCUGAAUAUUCGUGCAUGGAAUAAUAGAAUAGGAAGUCGUUUCUAUUUUGUUGGUUUUCGGAAAUCGACUUAAUGAUUAAUAGGGACAGUCGGGGGCAUUUGUAUUCAAACGACAGAGGUGAAAUUCUUGGACCGUUUGAAGACAAACUACUGCGAAAGCAUUUGCCAAGAAUGUUUUCAUUAAUCAAGAACGAAAGUUAAAGGUUCGAAGGCGAUUAGAUACCGCCCUAGUUUUAACCAUAAACGAUGCCAGCUAGCGAUCUGCGGACGUUUUUUUUGUAGACUCCGCAGGAAGCUUCCGGGAAACCAAAGCAUUUGGGUUCCAGGGGAAGUAUGGUUGCAAAGCUGAAACUUAAAGGAAUUGACGGAAGGGCACCACCAGGAGUGGAGCCUGUGGCUUAAUUUGACUCAACACGGGAAAUCUCACCAGGCCCGGACACUGGGAAGGAUUGACA